UUAGAUACCCCUGUAGUCCCAGCCGUAAACUAUGCUCGCUAGGUGUCAGGCAUGGCGCGACCGUGUCUGGUGCCGCAGGGAAGCCGUGAAGCGAGCCACCUGGGAAGUACGGCCGCAAGGCUGAAACUUAAAGGAAUUGGCGGGGAGCACCACAACGGGUGGAGCCUGCGGUUUAAUUGGACUCAACGCCGGGAAGCUCACCGGAUAAGACAGCGGAAUGAUUGCCGGGCUGAAGACUCUGCAUGACUAGCUG
Molecule: ribosomal RNA, 253 nt
Filed under: uncultured archaeon
Lineage: Archaea
Description: partial 16S ribosomal RNA
Rfam family: Archaeal small subunit ribosomal RNA
Source: RNAcentral